GUGGGGAAUAUUGGACAAUGGGCGAAAGCCUGAUCCAGCCAUGCCGCGUGUGUGAAGAAGGUCUUCGGAUUGUAAAGCACUUUAAGUUGGGAGGAAGGGCAUUAACCUAAUACGUUAGUGUUUUGACGUUACCGACAGAAUAAGCACCGGCUAACUUCGUGCCAGCAGCCGCGGUAAUACGAAGGGUGCAAGCGUUAAUCGGAAUUACUGGGCGUAAAGCGCGCGUAGGUGGUUCGUUAAGUUGGAUGUGAAAGCCCCGGGCUCAACCUGGGAACUGCAUCCAAAACUGGCGAGCUAGAGUACGGUAGAGGGUGGUGGAAUUUCCUGUGUAGCGGUGAAAUGCGUAGAUAUAGGAAGGAACACCAGUGGCGAAGGCGACCACCUGGACUGAUACUGACACUGAGGUGCGAAAGCGUGGGGAGCAAACAGGAUUAGAUACCCGUGUAGUCC
RNAcentral lists this ribosomal RNA (450 nucleotides) under uncultured bacterium. Its description in RNAcentral is "partial 16S ribosomal RNA". It matches the Rfam family "Bacterial small subunit ribosomal RNA", at positions 354 to 796 of the family's 1533-position model. The record is from RNAcentral.